UCACAACAUUGAUAAAUCUGUUUUCAAACCUGGAAACAGUCCCUUGGUGCUAAUAUUUAUAUGUAUAUAAUUUUUAUUGUGAUGUUAAAUCAAUGGAGAGUUUCAUGUUAUUCACAUAACAGCAGGCCAGGCCACAGUACUGAAUUCAUAAUGAGAUGAAAUGACAGUAAGUAUAGAUUAGUUUUGGACGUUAAAGUAGACUUUGUAUUUUACUGGGUUUUAGAAAUAAUAUACAAUUACAACAUGGAAAAGAUGAAAUUAUUAAUGUUAUAAAAAUUCAAUUUGUUUUUACUCACUACUAGAGUAUUGCUUUGUCAUAUGUCUCAUAGUUAUACAUUUUAGGUUUAAAAGUAGAUAAAAAGUCCUAUUUUUAAAAACCCUCUCAUUGAUGGAUGCUAUUGGUGCAGUAUCAAAAUCUGUCAGGCCUUUAACAUUUGAGAGUAGUAAAUAGCUCUAAUAACUAUUUCAGAGUUUGUGCAGUAUCAAUAUCAGCUCAUACUUGUAUGCAAUGUCUUUGUUUAAGACAGUUUACAUAAUGCAUCAAACACAGUGCCUACCAGUAGUGAGUAGUCAUUUAUUAUAUAAACAUAUUGCCUAUUGAGAGAAGUUUUCUGUUUAUUUAGUGAAUGUAUGGAAAGCAUGAAUUUGAUACUGAUUCAUAUAAGCCAUCUCUUCUGAUUGUCACAAAAAGGCUAUAUAAGCCCUAUGUGAAAGAGUAAGAGGUGAAGAUUCAGAGAGGUUCAGUAACUUGCCCAAGGUGGCACAGCCACCUUGUGGUAAAAGUAGGAUUUGAACCCAGCUUAGCUCUACUCUAAAGUCCAUAGUCCUUUCACUGCUCUUUGCUGGUUUCAGUAUAGUAUAAAAAUAAACAAUUGAUAUUAAAUAAUAUAUGAACCAGGAAUCUUGGAAUAUUUACUUUGUAGAAUUUAUUUUCGUCUUAAUCUAGCCUGAGAAUGUUAAGAAAUCAGUUCUAAUGGUGUUUUCCCAGAAUGUUAUUAUUUAAAUUAACAAUGUUAGUGGAAUCCACAAAUAGACAUCACCAGCUAGCUGCUACCUGGAAAAAGAGAAAAAAAUCUGUACUUUAAUGUCUGUCUUGCUUGAAAAUAUAUGUUUUAUUUUAAUUAAUAUGUUUUAUGCCAUGACUAUCAUUAAAAUUAUUCUUCUGAUCAUAUCAAUGUUACCUUUUGUGCCACCAAUGCUUUAUUUUGAUGUGCUUCAGAAAGAGUAAAAUAGUCAGAAAGUACAAUGUUUAAUAAAUGGCUUGAAAUAUUUUGAGGAAAAUUGAUCAAAGGUAGUUGACAUUGGGUUUUUUGUUAUCACUGUGUUUAAUCUGUAAAUGAUAAUCUAGUAAUUUGGCUAAUAUUUAUCGUUUUUUAAUUUAGGUCAAUAUACUUCAGUUUGUUAAAAAUAUGCUAUAAAAAUAACUGGUAAUAACUAGGUACAUAUAGAGUUUAGUUUGACGAAUGAGAAAUAUGUACCAAUUAUCCAGUGUGCAAUAUUUACCAAGAAUUAUAGUUUGCGUCUUCAUUGCAAAACAAAUGGUCUCUUUAGUUUCAUUCAGUAAACAGCAGCUCAUAUGGGAUUACCUGGUCUAUCUGUUGCAGAUUCAGCUUUCAGAGGUUAAUAUGAACUGUUUAGGGGAGAAUAACAUUCAUAAAAACAGAAGUUUCCUUUUAAUUGGAACGACUUCCAGUUCACAGACUCAUUCAGUCCUUGUCUCAUAGUCUCAGCAUGGUGUCUAGUGUCAGUGGUGGGAAUAGUAGUAGUACUUCUUCACAUUUGUGUGGCACAUCACAGUCUGAUAAAGCACUUUCACAUAGUGUCAUUUGGAUUCAGCACAAAGGGCAGCAUGUGGCUAUGGUGUGUGUUAACUGCAGCCUUGUCAUCCUGGCAGCGUACUUGUACUUUCAGAUCCAGAAAGCUAAAAGUGUUAGGGAGGUUUCAAACAGUUUUGGAACUACAGGAAAAACUGUCUUAGAAAAUUCAGGGAAGUUUGUGGAGCAGUUGAUGCAUCUGAGUUAACCUAAUUUUAAUGUGAAUCCCAAACGUGGGAAUGAGUUCCUAUCCAGGUUUAUAUUCAUCCAGAAUUUACUUAACAGUCAGAAUUUGAGUUUGACUUUCUGGUGUGGGGAAGCCUCAGUUAUCUUUUUUAGCAGUACCUUGUUUAUCCUAAUAUUCUUUAAGCUAAUGUUUCAUAAGAAGUUAGACAUCUUUCUUCUUUUACGUGUAAUUAUUUCAGGGUUUCAGGACUUAAGAUUCUUGAAAAUAUGGGUGUAUUCCAUAGAUAAUCUAGUUUAUUUCAAUUAUUUUGUAAAACUUUCAACUCUCAUUUGGAUCUUUGAACAUUUGGAAAUGUAAGCAGUUCUGAAACAAUAUACAAAGAAUAAGUAUAAACUCAAUGAAAAUACACUUACCCAAGCAAUAUUGCAGCGUAAAAUAUAUGCUUCAAGUGGUAUAAAAGUAUUUGCACUUAGAAAAUAUAUUUAAACUGUUUGUCCUCAUAAAUUUAUGUCUUCAACCUUUAUAUUUAUCUCCCAGGAGUGUCAGUUUUAUUUGUAUUUUAAUAAGAAAAUUAUAAUAAAAACUUGGUGUUUCAUUUUAGGUGAGGUUUUUGUAUUUGGGUUUGUUUUUCUACAGUAGAGUUUAAUCCAUGUGUUGCUUUUCUUCAAGUAUAGUUUAAAGGAGUACAUUUGGAACGUGUUUUUGGAAAAAGCAUAUUAAUGUAGCAGAAGAGACUUCAGUGCACACUUUCGAAGAAAAACAGUUUCUGAGCAUUAAGUGGUAAAAGGCAAUAAUAAUUCAAAUGAUGAUAACAAGCCAACCUGCUAAAAAGAAUGCAUGUUCUGUGUAUCCAGCCAUUUCACAUGAACUAACCCCAUUUAAAAGAAUACAUUUUCCAUUCACUGUGCACAUAUGUGUAAUCAUUUUUGACUAAAAUCAAUUGCCAUUAUCAUGCCAACUAAAUCUGCAGUAGAAUAUGUUAGUUGCCAGAUACAGUACAAAAAAUAUCAUUUAAGAGUAAUCAUGAUUGAAUCCCAGAAAUGAAUAGAUGCAAUUUGUAACAAUUAGUUAUAAUGCCAAGAAACACUCCAGAGAGUAAAGUUAAUGUUAAUUUUUAUAUGUAGUAACUCUAAAUUGCUAUGGUAAAGCCUAUAAUAUGGUAGCAAUAUGGGGCAUUUUAUGCUAAAAUACACUGAAACGUUAGAGAUGGGCCUAAUUGCUUUUCUUACUUUCCUGAAUA
This is a non-coding RNA of Macaca mulatta (Rhesus monkey), 3241 nucleotides long. The record is from RefSeq and is a predicted model, not a curated record. Lineage: Eukaryota; Metazoa; Chordata; Mammalia; Primates; Cercopithecidae.